RNAcentral lists this ribosomal RNA (311 nucleotides) under uncultured Glomeraceae. RNAcentral's name for it is "LSU rRNA". The record is from RNAcentral. Lineage: Eukaryota; Fungi; Glomeromycota; Glomeromycetes; Glomerales; Glomeraceae.
UUGAAAGGAAACGAUUGAAGUCAGUCAUGCCGGUGAGAAUCAACUUGGAAUAACUUUCAAGUGCACUUCUUCGCUUGGCAGGUUAGCGUCGAUUUCGAAUGUCAUAAAAUGAUUGGGGGAAGGUAGCUCCUUCGGGAGUGUUAUAGCCCUUGGUUAAUGUGAUGUUUGGGAUCGAGGUUUGCAACGGAUACCUUUUAGGCUAGCCGCCUGGCCUCUGAUUCGAUGUCGGGUUAUAGACAGCAUGCUGACUAUGAUCAGAUUAUUGGUCAAAAGGUUAGAGCGAGUAUAAAUUCGUUAAGGAUGUUGACGUA